RNA transcript from Sus scrofa (pig), 2812 nucleotides. It is a transcript of the gene named SPRY domain containing 4, with no coding region annotated. Lineage: Eukaryota; Metazoa; Chordata; Mammalia; Artiodactyla; Suidae. The record is from RefSeq and is a predicted model, not a curated record.
GUGAUGGGAACCCGCGGGAGGAAAGCAGGGUCUCAGAUGGGGGGCGUGUCCUCUUCAUCCGGAGCGCAAGAUGGCGCUGCCCUUUGCACGUCCACUGUGCCUGUGCCGCUGGGGAGCCAAAAGGUUAGGGAUUGCUGCCGCGGAAACCCGCAGAGGCGUCAGUUUCAAACUGGAAGAAAAGACAGCCCACAGCAGCUUGGCCCUCUUCAAAAGUGACACAGGUGUCAAAUAUGGCAUGGUGGGAUUGGAGCCCACAAAAUUGGCCCUGAAUGUGGAGCGCUUCCGGGAGUGGGCAGUGGUGUUGGCAGACACAGCGAUCACCAGUGGCAGACACUACUGGGAGGUGACAGUGAAGCGCUCACAGCAAUUCCGGAUAGGAGUGGCAGAUGUGGACAUGUCCCGGGAUAGCUGCAUCGGUGUUGACGACCGUUCCUGGGUGUUCACCUAUGCCCAGCGCAAGUGGCACACCAUGUUGGCCAACGAGAAGGCCCCUAUUGAGGGCAUUGGGCAGCCAGAGAAGGUGGGGCUGCUGCUGGAGUAUGAGGCCCAGAAGCUGAGCCUGGUGGAUGUGAACCGGGUUGCUGUGGUCCAUACACUACAGACAGAUUUCCGGGGUCCAGUGGUGCCUGCCUUUGCCCUUUGGGAUGGAGAACUGCUGACUCACUCAGGGCUUGAGGUACCAGAAGGCCUCUAAUAUGUCCAUCACUGAAGUCCCUAAUCAUGCUCUUGGCCAGCCUCCUGCUCAAAAAGUGUCCGAAACCUUUUAAUUGUGGCCCAAGCAAGUACCAGCUCCCACCUGUCACUAGUUCAGUGACAGGUCCUCUGUGCAAUAUCUCAGUCGUCUUUGUUUCCCGUCCUGUGAAAGAUACCUUCAGCUGCAGCAACAUGCAGAGCUGUGCGGGAGUCAUAGUCUUUCUGUUCCAUGUCCAUGGCUGACAAGGCAAACCUGAGGGCCCUCACUUUCGGAAGAGAUCUCGGUCCAAGAGGCCACCACUGCUGGACUCUCGAACCCUGCGGCGCAUCUGGCUCAUGCAGUCCCGGAGCCUGGGAUCUGACGUCUGCAGUCCGGUAGCCUUCAGUGCCUUCAGGGGAAAGAAGCCUGGUAAGGUCAGCUACAAGGACAAUAAUGCAAUCCUAACAGUCUUUCCCAAUGGAUAACAAUCAGUGCAACCCCAACUACCCCAACAAGUGGAAUAAAUGGAUUUGCAGACUAAGAAAGGAUGUAACAGCUUUGAAGGCUAAUGGGGUUUUCCACCCUUUUUCAUCAAGGCAGCUGAUUUCUGAACCCCUUGGGUCAAAUCCCAAACCAAGAAGAUGGGCUGAGUCAGAGAUGGGAUUGCUGCAUCAGCCUAUGCCUCUGCUAUCAUCAGCUAUUUUUCAUCCUCAUGAAGCAGCUCGUUAGCUGCCCCGUUCUUGUCCCACCUUCCUUUACCCAGUUUCCAGAGAUCCUAAGGGGUUUGUCUUCUGUGAAGGUAGAGAGGAACUUACAGUAGUGAACUUGUGGAUAGGGAUUCGUUCCUGUCCCUCAGCAACUGUGUAGAAGAGAAGAUCACCCAGGCGGGACAGCAUGCCACUUUCUGACGGAUCACUGUUGAGGGGGCAGAGACAGGGGAGGAGGACAGGAACCUGAGAAUUGCUCUCUGUUCCUCCUCUUAGAACAAGGGCUUAUCAAUAGGUAGGUGUCCUUAGACUCCACCUUCUCCCUGAACCAUCUGAUCUAUCCCUGUAAUUCUGACUUUACAUAACUACCUUGAGAAGUCUUUUUCGGGGGGGGGGGGCGGUGUACCAGCAUCAUGUAGAAGUACCCAGACCAGAGACUGAAUCUGAGCCACAGCUGUGGCAACACUGGAUCCUUUAUUUGUUAUAUGUUCCCAGGAUAUGGGUCGAAUCAGCACAGCAGCUGCUGGCCUACGCCACAGCAAUUCGAGAUCUGAGCCAUGUCUGUGACCUACACCACAGCUCAUGGCAAUGCUGGAUCCUUAACCCACUGAGUAAGGCCAGGGAUCGAAUCUGCAUCCUCAUGGAUACUAGUCAGGUUCAUAACCUGAUGAGCCACAACGGGAACUCCCAAAGUUGUGCCCCUUAUAGCUGUGUGAUCUGAAUAUGGGUAGUAAAUCAGGUUAUUUAAUGCAGCUGAACCUGCUUCCUCAUCUGUAAAAUAAGUAUAGUGGUGUCUGUUUCACAUGGGUAAUGUGAGGCUUAAUUUAAAUUUUCUUUUUGCUUUUUUUUUUUUUUUUGCUCUUUAGGGCCGUACUCAUAGCAUAAGGAAGUUCCCAGGCUAGGGGUCGAAUUGGAGCUGUAGCCCCUGGCCUACGCCACAGCAACACCAGAUCCGAGCCACGUCUGUGACCUACAUCACAGCUCACAACAACUAUUUGAGAUCUAAGACCCUUCAAAACUCUAGACUCAACAAUUUCACCUCCAGGUAUUUAUCGUAUAAGUGUAUUCACAUCCUAUAAGGUAAUAUAUUCAAGGCUAUUCAUUGCAUUGUUAGUAACACUGGGAACAACCUAAAUGUGCAACAAGAAAAUGGUUAGGUGGAGUUCCCGUUGUGGUGCAGCAGUUAACGAAUCUGACUAGUAACCAUGAGGAUGAGGGUUUGAUCCCUGGCCUUGGUCAGUGGGCUAAGGAUCUGGGCGUUGUGCUUGUAGCACCUUGGGUUGCUCCAGUGGCGAGGUUUGAUCCCUGGCCUGGAAACCUCUGCGUGCUGCAGACUCAGCCAACCACCCCCCCACCAAAAAAAAUAGAAAAAUGAUGGCAUGCUUUAAUGAUAUGGAAUGAUCUUUAAGAUGUAAUAAUAACUAAAAAAAAA